CAAACCAUUGUGCCAGCCUUUGUCGAAC
Molecule: small RNA, 28 nt
Filed under: Bombyx mori (domestic silkworm)
Lineage: Eukaryota; Metazoa; Arthropoda; Insecta; Lepidoptera; Bombycidae
Description: ovarian small RNA-12734
Source: RNAcentral